GCGCCUGCUUUGGGAGCAGGAGGUCGCAGGUUCGAAUCCUGCCACCCCGACAA
RNAcentral lists this transfer RNA (53 nucleotides) under Flavobacteriaceae bacterium. Its description in RNAcentral is "tRNA-Ser". It matches the Rfam family "tRNA", at positions 23 to 71 of the family's 71-position model. Rfam says of the family: Transfer RNA (tRNA) molecules are approximately 80 nucleotides in length. Their secondary structure includes four short double-helical elements and three loops (D, anti-codon, and T loops). The record is from RNAcentral. Lineage: Bacteria; Pseudomonadati; Bacteroidota; Flavobacteriia; Flavobacteriales; Flavobacteriaceae.